UACGUAGGGUGCAAGCGUUGUCCGGAAUUAUUGGGCGUAAAGAGCUCGUAGGCGGUCAGUCGCGUCUGCUGUGAAAACUCGGGGCUUAACUCCGGGCCUGCAGUGGGUACGGGCUGACUAGAGUGCGGUAGGGGAGAGUGGAAUUCCUGGUGUAGCGGUGAAAUGCGCAGAUAUCAGGAGGAACACCGGUGGCGAAGGCGGGUCUCUGGGCCGUAACUGACGCUGAGGAGCGAAAGCGUGGGGAGCAAACAGG
This 253-nucleotide ribosomal RNA is filed under the name uncultured bacterium. Its description in RNAcentral is "partial 16S ribosomal RNA". It matches the Rfam family "Bacterial small subunit ribosomal RNA", at positions 524 to 776 of the family's 1533-position model. The record is from RNAcentral.